ACCCAACAAAAAACAACAAAGCAAAAAAUAGGAAAACAAAGGCAGCUGACUGCAUGCCAACUUUGGAAGUUAAAAACUCUGAUUUGUAGUUUGGGUGUAUUCCAAAUUUAUCAAAGCCAUGCCUUCAUUCUAGUUAUAAGCUCCACUAAAAACCAAACUCCUCUACAUAAAACUGACUUUUGACUUCCUAAUUUAAUAGCAACAGCAGCUUUUCUGAAAUGAUAGUUUCUGUUAAUGAUGAGUUAAAAAUUAAAAUUCAAACCUUAUCCUGCAAGAGGGAGCAGUUUCACACAUUUUUAGACUGCUUAUGGUAACAUGGAGGAGGGGUACUGCAAAAUCACCCCACAAAAUAUCAGAUUAAGAUGCCCUAGUAAUUCAAAAUUUAGGGAUGCCUGUGCUCCCUACCUGGUGUGCCCCUUCUGGUCUGGAAGCCAGCAAAAGCUCUUGUGAAAUUUGAGUGCAGAGUCUCCAGGCCCAGCCUGAGCUUUGCACUCGGGGUAUUGGGCUUUGACAGCCCCAUGGCAUUUUGGUUUUACAUAAUCAGCUCUUUUUGUUAUAAGCUGUGGGCUUCAGAUGAAAAACAAUUUGAGGCGGAAGCAGCACCCUGGGCACAGACCAAGACAGAAAACAUUCAGAAAAAACAAAUAUUUCUUAUUUCUUGUAAUCACCCGUGUUACAGCAAUCCAGUGUUGACUGGUGUUUGCUGACAACUUGCUUUGCAGGAAACACAAAGUGAAAGAGACAGGAAGAGAGGGUUUUUCUGCAUUUCUGAUAAACCUGUAGUUAUGUCCUUCGAUGACAGAUUUGCCAACAGCAAGAAGUAAGACAUAUCUCAGUCUGAAGUGUCUGGAAGCAAACUCACACAUGCCUUCACUGUACUGCUUUUGUUUGCAGAACCUUUCCAUCUGGAUGAGUAGCAGGAAUAGGAAAGCAUUUGAAGCUAGGAAAACCCCCAUACUCCUGUCUAUAAAGCACUGAUAGGAUUUUUAUGUGGAGCUCUAAAGAGAAUGACAUGCAGUGCUUGUUUGGAUUUAUUUUUUCUUUUUGCCAGGUUGGAGAGCUCAGAUGUUUGCAAGCAAAACAAAAUAAACUCAUGCAUUGAAACUCCUUCCUGAAAUGUGUCUGGUGGCUGAUGCCAUGGCACGUCCCCCAGCACAUGCAUUGUGCACCCUUGGGCUGUCCUGGGCACUGCUGGGACACAGCUAAUGGCACCCAUGGCAUAAAAAGGAAGGUAAUUAGCAGAGAAUGAUUAUUGCUGCAGCUAGAAAAUAGACAAGUAAUCUUUUUGGGGUUUCAGUCCAUUGCCUCAGUGUUUUCAAACCAGCACCUAAUCUUCCCAGACCCCACUCUGUGUCUGUUUCUUUCUUCCUUUCAUUUCUUUCCCCCCCUUUUUGCAGGGACUGUGGCUGAUUCUGAUUCACUCCAUUUCUUUCUUCUCAAGCAGCCACAGGGCAGGCUCUCUGUUGCCAGGGAUAUGGCCAAUGCAUGUGACAUCCUGCCACCAAAAACAAUCCCGUUUAUUUCUGGUGCGAUGCUGCUGAAAUCAGCACAGCCAGGCUGGGAGCAGGACACCUCAGUCAGCCACAAAGUUUUGUGAGAAGAAUUUUCCUUAAAGGAAGUGUUCUUAAAAAAUAGCUCUCAGGGAGAAAUGUGCAGGUUUUGCUCGUAAAGUGGUCAUUGGCAAAGGUUUCCUUCCCAAAGUCCAGUCAGAGUAUCAGUGAGGGAUGGUAAACACAUGCCAUUUUGACACGAAAUUAGUAGGCUGUGUAGCACUGUGGAAAAUAUUAGACUUUCUUCUUCCUCUGACCUCGAAGAGCCUGUUAGGAGAUUAAGAAUAUCCAGCUCUCAAAGGUAUAGCUGUUUUACCAAAAUUCAGUUAAUGAAGAAUAAUAUUUUGGGAACAAGAGAAAACACCUCUGUAGCACGCGGAGUGCUAGGAAUAGAUGGAAAGUUGCCUGUAUAAACAGUUCAGCAACUCUGGGAUGAAUUAUAGGAGCAUUUGUAUGCAUGAUUGCCCAUCUGAGUAAAACAAGACGUGCAGUCACACACAGGAAUGAUGUGCAGGGCAGACCUCUGGGACUGUUAUUAACUUGCUCCAGGACAAGACCUGUCUCUUCACAUCCAAGUGUGACCCAAGGAAGUUGAGAUAAAUCUAUAUAAGUAAAUAAAUAUAGGAGGUGGCCUCGCUGGGAGGAAACUCAAGGUAUGCUAUCUACAUCUGUGUUUCUGGGUUUGGGGUUUAUUUUGACUCAAGUCAGAUUUUGGUCUGUUACUUCUCCACUUGAAGUUUUUCUGGCAGUUCCAGGAGGGCUGAAGGCUCAGAUCCAGCGGGUUCCUUCCAGCUGCACAUCCCAGCACAGGCCAUGGGCACUGGCAAGGUCUGGGGAGCUGCAGGGCUUCAAACCAGGGAUGCUGUCAGAAACUCUGCCUUGCACAGUUCCCCUCUCAAGUACCAGCUGCAAAAUGUCAACAGCACCUUCCUCAGAGAACACAAUUAAUUAAACGAGGCCUAAUUAAUUAGUGUCAGGAAAGCAGAUGUAGCGAUUAUGGCAGAAGUAAACAAAUGUACAUAUUGUGAAUUGUUCUGCAAAGGAUUUGUUCUGGAAUCCCUGUGGCCCUUUCACUCCUCCCCACGAUGCUAUUGGGAAGGCCAUCAGGGAAAAUGUAGAGAUAAAUUGCAAAUUGAUGAGGAACUAAUGCACUUGUAUAAGUUUAUAUCUCAGGAAAACAAUCAGCAAACAGACUCCUUUAUUAACCCCUUGGGACUUGGGGAUGAAAUACAAUCCCGAUAUUUAAUUUCCAGAUCAUGCAAGCAUCAUGUGCCACAAGUAAGUCAACUGUUUAAAGUUCGUUUAAUGUGGGUGUGAAAAAGCAGAUGUGGAGUCACACCAGUGUGGUGUUUGAGUGGAGCCUUUAGACUUUAUAAAGAAUCUGCACUGAACAAGAAUACUUCAAGCUCAAUAUAACAGGCACUGGAAUAGUGAAGCACACUUGGAAAACUCAGAAAAAUUUCAGAGUUGCCUUUCAAAAUUUCUUCAAGACGAUAAAGAGAACAAAUUAGGCUGGUUAGGGAUGUAGCUGUAGAAGCAAAUGGGACUCAUGUACUGGAAGAAGCAGUCAAGAUGUUAAGAAACCAGGUGUACUGUGUGUGAAAGAAAAUGCAUUGCACAGCCUGUGUGCACAGUGUGGGCAACAGCCUCAUAGGCAGCUAGGAAAAAGCACUUUCUAGAUCUCAACAGAGAUUUUUUCCCUUCACUUGGUGCUCUUUUUUGCUCUGCAGGUAAUGCUGGCUUUGGUGCAGAGAGGAUGGGAGGUCGGAUGUACUUUACGGUAGAGUCAGCUCACUGGUUCAUAUCGUGGAGAAGCUGUGAAGGUGGAAAAUACCCCCUUGCCUUGGUGACUGCAUUUCCCAUGCAAAGGACUGCCAAGUAACAGCUGUUCAUGAAUGCUGCUCCCCACCAUGGCUAAUCCAGCAGCAAGCCCUCCGAGGACACCAGUGACUCUGGCUGAUGCUCUCCUGUCCCAUCCUCAGCACGUGAGGCCUUAAAAAUUCUUCAGACUUAGAUGAGGUAGAGCAUGGGUAUUACUGGGCAUUUCUGCUGUAAGAGAAAGAAAUCUCCUUUUGCUUUUACGAUUGUUUAUCCCAAGUUAUAGGCUGAUCCAAGGAAGUUUGGCUGCUCUGUCAGUUAGGAACUGCUCCCUUUCCACUCAUUACUUUUUGUGCCAGUAAAAUGUUUGUGUGACAAGUGAAAAAAAGCCCUGUGCACCAAGGUCGGGGUGCAGUGUCUCUCUCUCUGUAGAGAUCAGCUUGCAUUGCCAUGUUUGUGGAUGACAGCCAUAUGAAAGACCUUGCAGACAUACUGUGAGGAUACAAUUUUUAAUUAAAAAUUAAAAUGUGCUGUUGUCACAUUAUUAAACAAAUUGAAUUUUUAAAUUUUUGCAGAGUAGCCAAAAUUAUUUUUUGGUGCAGUGUUUCUAGGACCUGCUGUGAUGAGUAAAUGCUGGAUUGCAUAGACAGUCAUUCAGAGUAAAGACUGUGGGAUUAGAUGAGGGAAAAUUCAAGAACUUGAUUUGUGUAACACUCAGCCACCUCAGACUGUGUGGUCUUUUACCAUCCAAGACAAAGGUGUGGACACGUGCUAGUCAUCACCCUAUUCUCUGAAAACUGGUGUUUCUGCAUGAAAGAAGGAACAGGAGCAGAGAAGCAGUGAGGGAGGAAAUGCUCCCUCUCCAGUCUGUUGGGACUGAGCGUGGCAAGCUGAGGGGGAACAGGGCAGGCUGAACCUGACCUAGGGCUGUGCAAACAAAUCCGUCUCCUGUGUUUGCCUCCCUCUGAACCAGGGGCACAGAACCUCUGCAGCUCUGCAGGUAGCAGGAUUGCUUCAAAAAUAUGUGGUGGCAAUUCCAGUUUUCCUUUGUAACACAGAGUAUUGGAGCCCUGGAUUUUGUCCAGCCACUCAGGCCAAGGCACUCAGUUGCCUGUCUUUAGCUCCCUGGCACCAGUCAUGGGGCAGUGCUGACAGAUUCUUCAAAGUCUUGUGGUUUGGGUCUCUUCAGGGAAAAAAAAGUGCAUCUUGCCACUCAGCAGAUAUGCUGGAGGGCUCAAAAAAUAGACAUGGAAAAGCACUGGCCAUGCUACUGUCCUGGCUCUUCACCGAUUAUUGACUUUCCCAUUCCUUGGGUCAAACUGCUGCUACUUCACAGUGCACUUCAUCUUCUGGGAUGAGGUUGGUGCCAUUAGUCAUCUGUAUUUCCUUUUGUAUUUGUUGGGUUUUUUAUAGUCUGGAAAGAUUGUCCCGUAUAAUUUUUUAUUUUACUGGGCUGCUUCCACUUGCAUGGUAACUCCCUUCCAAUAUUUCCCAUUGUGGCUCAGAAUGGCUGGGGGGCAGCACCAGGAUCUCAGUGGAGCUCUGCAGCACAGGUUCACCUGAGAUGUCUGAUCCAGCAAAACUCUACAUCAGCCUGGGACACAAGAUAAAUUAUUGCAAUGGAAACUGAAUCUUUCAUUUGCUCUUUGUAUUUUCUGCCCUUGCUUUGGGUUUGUUUUCUCCUCUUUUCUUCCCCUGCAAUUGUCAAGGCAGCAUCUGGGAGUUUUAUGAAACAAAUGUUACCCAUUAAAAGCCCAUCACUGCCUGCCAGAAAGGAAAAUGGCAUCUUAUUGAAAACAAUAUGUAAUGGUUAUUGCUGUCUUGUUGCAAGUUAUGCCCUUGAAAAAUGUUAGGGACACAUUUAAUAGCAGCCGAUGGUGAAGAAAAGCCCAACUAAAGAGAAAAUUAACUGUUGCAUUAUCUUUUACACAGCUUCAAACACCAUCAUACAAAUGCUGGUCUGUUGUGUUCAUAGCUGUGUUUACAGUUGCUUCAAGGACAAGGAACAACACUUUUCCAUGAUGCUUUUGUUGCCUCAGUGUUGGAGUUGCAAAUAAUUCCUCUCUGGUUUCUCGUACUGGCCUUGCAGCAGCAAUGGAGACUCGGGUCCUGACCAGGAGAGCACAACUGCAGCCACGUGAGUAAGAAACUCCCUGCAGACACAGCACCCCUUGGGCACUGCCUGGGGACACUGUGCCUCCAAGGACACUUUUUACCUUAAGUUGGCACCCUCAGCAGCUGGCACAGGCCAAGCUGCUGAUUCACUCACAGGCUGUUAAAGCUUUUUUUACUGUUUCCAUCUUAAUCUAUUUU
Molecule: long non-coding RNA, 5681 nt
Organism: Oenanthe melanoleuca
Lineage: Eukaryota; Metazoa; Chordata; Aves; Passeriformes; Muscicapidae
Exons: 3
Source: RefSeq, a predicted model, not a curated record